Molecule: microRNA precursor, 83 nt
Organism: Arabidopsis thaliana (thale cress)
Lineage: Eukaryota; Viridiplantae; Streptophyta; Magnoliopsida; Brassicales; Brassicaceae
Rfam family: MIR5643 microRNA precursor family
Source: Rfam
GUGUAGCCGAAGUCCAUAUGAGUCUUUGUCUUUGUAUCUUCUAACAAGGAUACAAUACAUAGGCUUUUAAGAUCCGGUUGCGG